Small nucleolar RNA from Tachyglossus aculeatus (Australian echidna), 138 nucleotides. The record is from RefSeq and is a predicted model, not a curated record. NCBI's taxonomy places the organism in Eukaryota, Metazoa, Chordata, Mammalia, Monotremata, Tachyglossidae.
UGCCUCUCAGGGUUGCACCUGAAAAGUUUCCAGUCCUCUACCAUUCUCAACUAUGGGAGGGAGAGUCAAGCAGAGGCAUGCCCAUUCCAUUCCUAGCUUGGUUAGUGGCUAGUGAGUGGAAGACAAUCUGCUACAAUU